GACGAACGCUGGCGGCGUGCCUAAUACAUGCAAGUAGAACGCUGAAGAGAGGAGCUUGCUCUUCUUGGAUGAGUUGCGAACGGGUGAGUAACGCGUAGGUAACCUGCCUUGUAGCGGGGGAUAACUAUUGGAAACGACAGCUAAUACCGCAUAACAAUGGAUGACCCAUGUCAUUUAUUUGAAAGGGGCAAAUGCUCCACUACAAGAUGGACCUGCGUUGUAUUAGCUAGUAGGUGAGGUAACGGCUCACCUAGGCGACGAUACAUAGCCGACCUGAGAGGGUGAUCGGCCACACUGGGACUGAGACACGGCCCAGACUCCUACGGGAGGCAGCAGUAGGGAAUCUUCGGCAAUGGGGGCAACCCUGACCGAGCAACGCCGCGUGAGUGAAGAAGGUUUUCGGAUCAUAAAGCUCUGUUGUAAGUCAAGAACGAGUGUGAGAGUGGAAAGUUCACACUGUGACGGCAGCUUACCAGAAAGGGACGGCUAACUACGUG
Molecule: ribosomal RNA, 497 nt
Filed under: uncultured bacterium
Lineage: Bacteria
Description: partial 16S ribosomal RNA
Rfam family: Bacterial small subunit ribosomal RNA
Source: RNAcentral